Molecule: ribosomal RNA, 931 nt
Filed under: uncultured fungus
Lineage: Eukaryota; Fungi
Description: eukaryotic LSU rRNA
Rfam family: Eukaryotic small subunit ribosomal RNA (bases 1-241)
Source: RNAcentral
UUGCUCUUCAACGAGGAAUUCCUAGUAAGCGUGAGUCAUCAGCUCACGUUGAUUACGUCCCUGCCCUUUGUACACACCGCCCGUCGCUACUACCGAUUGAAUGGCUUAGUGAGGCCUUCUGAUUUGCUGCGGGGAGCCGGAAACGGCAUUCUGUGGCGGAGAAGUUGAUCGAACUUGGUCAUUUAGAGGAAGUAAAAGUCGUAACAAGGUUUCCGUAGGUGAACCUGCGGAAGGAUCAUUAUUGAAUUUUGAAGUGGGACGCUUGAGCUGGCAUUGCAGGUGCUCGGCGUCUCCAUUCAUUCCAAUUCAAACACCUGUGCACCUCGAGAACGUGAGUUGGGUUAUUGGAUCUGUGGUUCAUUUAUUCCCUUAUUUGGGUUGAACUUAGUGAAGGUGCCCCGCUUUCGUUUCUUAUUACAAACUCGUUAUAUUGUUUUGUAGAAUGUAUCGCCUUUAAAUAGGCAAAGUCUAAAUACAACUUUCAACAACGGAUCUCUUGGCUCUCGCAUCGAUGAAGAACGCAGCGAAAUGCGAUAAGUAAUGUGAAUUGCAGAAUUCAGUGAAUCAUCGAAUCUUUGAACGCACCUUGCGCUCCUUGGUAUUCCGAGGAGCAUGCCUGUUUGAGUGUCAUUAUGUACUCAACUCCCUUGAUUUUUUAAAUAAAAUCAUUCGAGUUGGAUUUGGAGGUUUCUUCAUGCUGGUCCUCGCGGAUCGGCUCCUCUCAAAUGCAUUAGCUGAGCUUUCGCUUGAUGCAAUGGUGUAAUAAUUAUCUUCACCGAUGCAACUAGUGAUAUAGGCUUGCUUCUAAUCGUCUCCUAUCCGAGACAUUAUAAAAGAUAAACCCUUUUCGGGGGGAGACUCUUUUUGACUCUUCUGACCUCAAAUCAGGUAGGAUUACCCGCUGAACUUAAGCAUAUCAAUAAGCGGAGGA